AAGCUCGUAGUUGAAUUUCGAGAUCAGUACGCUGGUCGUGCCUUCGGUACUAUGCACUGGUGUCACUGGUUUCUCCCUUCUGAAGAACCGUAAUGCCAUUCAGUUGGUCUGGCGGGGAAUCAGGAUUGUUACUUUGAAAAAAUUAGAGUGUUUAAAGCAGGCUCGUGCCUGAAUACAUUAGCAUGGAAUAAUGAAAUAGGACGUUUGAUCCUAUUUUGUUGGUUUCUAGGAUCGACGUAAUGAUUAAUAGGGAUAGUUGGGGGCAUUAGUAUUCAAUUGUCAGAGGUGAAAUUCUUGGAUUUAUUAAAGACUAACUACUGCGAAAGCAUUUGCCAAGGAUGUUUUCAUUAAUCAAGAACGAAAGUUGGGGGAUCGAAGACGAUCAGAUACCGUCGUAGUCUUAACCAUAAACUAUGCCGACUAGGGAUCGGAUGAUGUUAAUUUUUUAAUGACUCAUUCGGCACCUUACGGGAAAC
RNAcentral lists this ribosomal RNA (476 nucleotides) under uncultured Glomus. Its description in RNAcentral is "SSU rRNA". It matches the Rfam family "Eukaryotic small subunit ribosomal RNA", at positions 624 to 1098 of the family's 1831-position model. Lineage: Eukaryota; Fungi; Glomeromycota; Glomeromycetes; Glomerales; Glomeraceae. The record is from RNAcentral.